AGUGAACGCUGGCGGUAGGCCUAACACAUGCAAGUCGAACGGCAGCACAGUAAGAGCUUGCUCUUACGGGUGGCGAGUGGCGGACGGGUGAGGAAUACAUCGGAAUCUACUUUUUCGUGGGGGAUAACGUAGGGAAACUUACGCUAAUACCGCAUACGACCUACGGGUGAAAGCAGGGGAUCUUCGGACCUUGCGCGAUUGAAUGAGCCGAUGUCGGAUUAGCUAGUUGGCGGGGUAAAGGCCCACCAAGGCGACGAUCCGUAGCUGGUCUGAGAGGAUGAUAAGCCACACUGGAACUGAGACACGGUCAAGACUCCUACGGGAGGCAGCAGUGGGGAAUAUUGGACAAUGGGCGCAAGCCUGAUCCAGCCAUACCGCGUGGGUGAAGAAGGCCUUCGGGUUGUAAAGACCUUUUGUUGGGAAAGAAAAGCAGCAGGUUAAGACCCAGCUGUUCUGACGGUACCAAAAGAAUAAGCACCGGCUAACUUCGUG
This 492-nucleotide ribosomal RNA is filed under the name uncultured bacterium. RNAcentral describes it as "partial 16S ribosomal RNA". It matches the Rfam family "Bacterial small subunit ribosomal RNA", at positions 29 to 507 of the family's 1533-position model. The record is from RNAcentral.